RNAcentral lists this long non-coding RNA (208 nucleotides) under Nicotiana benthamiana. RNAcentral's name for it is "long non-coding RNA (NBEN_LNC015122)". Lineage: Eukaryota; Viridiplantae; Streptophyta; Magnoliopsida; Solanales; Solanaceae. The record is from RNAcentral.
GGAUACAUGGAAUUGGGAUCUCUGUUGCAUGCAAAUCUUUCUAUCGGGAAAGCCUCGCUUAUUCAAAGGGCUUCUUAUUUAGAACCCUUUUUUUUGCUUAGUUGUAAGUAAGCGUUGGUAGGAGCGGCGGGAUGAUGAUGAGUAUAUAAAUCAAUAAAGACCAAAAAAUAAUAAAUGGCAAGAUAAAUUAGAUAUCUAUGGAAAAAAU